CGCGCCUGCGGCCCCGCGCCUGCGCCGGCGGGAGGAGGCCGAGAGCGCGUGGAGACGGCGGUGCCCGCCCCGGGAGGCCCGCGGUUACAGCUGCUGUAACAGAUCUGAAGGCGUCUGCCUUAAACCUGGAAACCAGGGAAACAUCUUCUCUAAAGUUUCAAGACUAAAGAGUUGGGAAGCGGACGUGGCUCAACUGAUAGAGCAUCGGCCUACCAUAUGGGAGGUCCAGGGUUCAAACCCCGGGCCUCCUGACCCAUGUGGAGCUGGCCCACGUGCAGUGCUGACGUGCGCAAGGAGUGCCCUGCCACGCAGGGGUGUCCCCCGCGUAGGGGAGCCCCACGCAAAAGGGGUGUGCCCUGCAAGAAGAGCCGCCCCACGUGAAAAAAGUGCAGCCCACCCAGGACUGGCUCAGCACACAGGGAGAGCUGACGCAGCAAGAUGAUGCAGCGACAACAAAAAGAGAUGCAGUAUCCCGGUGCCACCUAUGGUGCAAAUGGACACAGAAGAACACACAACGAGUGGACACAGAGAGUGGACAAUGGGGGUGGGGGAAAAAUAAAUAAAUCUUUAAAAAAAUAAAAAAGACUAAAGACUUUCCUUUAAACAGAAAAAAGCCAGCGGCCUGAGACGGAGAAAAGCAGAGCAGAGGAGGAACUGCUCCCAAUGGCGGGCCUGGCCGGGGGCCCAGAGUGGCCGUGCCCUCGCCCACCUGCCCUGAGCCUCAGCCUCCCAGCUGCCUGCUCUGUGGAUGGCCAGUUCUGAAUUUCCUUUCUGGAAAGUGACGCAUCUGGACAACGCAGCAAACACUCUUUGAUCCAGAUGUCUUUCUCAAAAACUGGGCGGAAGGCACGCCAAGCGUUUAGAAGGGCUGUGCAGACGCUGUGGGCGAGCGGUGGCGGAGCGGCUGGCUGGCGGGGAGGGA
Molecule: long non-coding RNA, 922 nt
Filed under: Dasypus novemcinctus (nine-banded armadillo)
Lineage: Eukaryota; Metazoa; Chordata; Mammalia; Cingulata; Dasypodidae
Description: lncRNA (ENSDNOG00000050686.1)
Source: RNAcentral